This 773-nucleotide long non-coding RNA is filed under the name Trifolium pratense (red clover). Its description in RNAcentral is "long non-coding RNA (TPRA_LNC004621)". Lineage: Eukaryota; Viridiplantae; Streptophyta; Magnoliopsida; Fabales; Fabaceae. The record is from RNAcentral.
UGAGAGUUUCGCCUCAGGCACAAGCAUUUUCGCCCCAGGCACAGAAGUUUCGCCUGAGGCACCAACAUUUUCGCCCCAGGCGAACAGGCAAACAGAGAGGCACUUUUCUGGUGAAAUUUUCGCCUCAGGCACAGGAAUUUUCGCCUCAGGCGAAAUAGCAACAGAGAGGUGUUUUUCAACUGGGACUUUUCGCCUCAGGCACAGGAAUUUUCGCCUGGGGCGAAAAAGAAACAGAAUAUUAGCAGUUUUCUUCAUUUUUCAGCUACUUUCAUCCUUUGCAAAUAUCUUCAAACUAGUGCAUUAUUCUUCCAUGAAAUGAGUUACAAUUCUUCUAAAAAACACUUGAAAUUUGUCUUAUUUUCAUGUAAUGACGCAUGUCAUCACAACUUAAGGAAUACAAACAUUCAGCCACUGUCAUAUUGCUGAAAGUCUGAAACAUUCAUCCAGUUUGUUCCUUGUUGGGACUUUGUUCCUAGUUGGGACUGCAAUUAACUAAUUUUAACUGUGAUCUGUGAAUGUAUCAAUAUUACUAAACUCUAAUGGUUGUGGUUGAUUAAGCAGUAACAAGACAAAAAAUAGUACUUAUACAAAUUAAUUACUGUGAUUACUACUGGUCUACUGCAAUUAUUAAAUAACUAGUAAUUAAAAAUAUGCUAUAUAUUUUGGGUCAUGCUAACCGGUGCCCCCGGGGCACUGGUUAAGGAAACCAAAAAAGGAAAUUUUAAAAUUGAAAAUAACACUUUUUAGACUUUCGAGGCGUUGACUGCACAAAC